AACGAACGCUGGCGGCAUGCCUAACACAUGCCAGUCGAACGAGACCUUCGGGUCUAGUGGCGCACGGGUGCGUAACGCGUGGGAACCUGCCCUUAGGUUCGGAAUAACUCCCCGAAAGGGGUGCUAAUACCGGAUAAUGUCUUCGGACCAAAGAUUUAUCGCCUUUGGAUGGGCCCGCGUUGGAUUAGCUAGUUGGUAGGGUAAAAGCCUACCAAGGCGACGAUCCAUAGCUGGUCUGAGAGGAUGAUCAGCCACACUGGGACUGAGACACGGCCCAGACUCCUACGGGAGGCAGCAGCGGGGAAUAUUGGACAAUGGGCGAAAGCCUGAUCCAGCAAUGCCGCGUGAGUGAUGAAGGCCUUAGGGUUGUAAAGCUCUUUUACCCGGGAUGAUAAUGACAGUACCGGGAGAAUAAGCUCCGGCUAACUCCGUG
RNAcentral lists this ribosomal RNA (433 nucleotides) under uncultured bacterium. Its description in RNAcentral is "partial 16S ribosomal RNA". It matches the Rfam family "Bacterial small subunit ribosomal RNA", at positions 29 to 507 of the family's 1533-position model. The record is from RNAcentral.